CAAUAAAUGAGGGUUCUCAAGGCGUUAAUGAGGGCUGCGAACUGCAAGAUGCAGCAUUACUAGUUACACAGCCAGGGUUUGUAACACAGAAUACCUCUACAAAAUCUUCAAGACUUAGUCUUAGUCGGAAACGAAAGCAGUCCCGUUCUAUUACCCAUGAUAAAAGGGCAUGCCCUGACAAUGCACUAGUCUCUGAUGUGCAACCUCGGGAUACCACCACAGAUUUCAUUAAAACAGUUGAUUUCUAUACAGAAAACCUGUUAGGAGCUGGAGAUGUCACAAAUUCAUGGUCUGCAGCGUUGGCAAGUGUCUCAGAAGCUAACGGUGAUGCGAUAGUGCCGGUAGCUACUACCGUACUGACAUCUUCUUUGGACUCGC
Molecule: non-coding RNA, 378 nt
Organism: Paramisgurnus dabryanus
Lineage: Eukaryota; Metazoa; Chordata; Actinopteri; Cypriniformes; Cobitidae
Source: RefSeq, a predicted model, not a curated record